UUCACCAGCUUUAAAAAAUCGUGUCUACGUGCAAUUUAUGUAUAGUUGACCGGGAAAUUAAAGCAGCGAUCACUUGGACUAUUCCGCAGCACCCCUCUCACAUUGGUACAUCCCCCCCCCUCCCCCGGUAUUCAUUGUCUUCUACAGUAGAGCGGGACAUUUAAUUUACUCUCAGCGGAAUUGACCGGAGAAGGCAUCAGUUCAUGCACUGCACUGGCCUGCACCAUGAUUAGUAUAAGGCACAUUUCACGAAGCAGAACGCAGUCUUCAGAGAUAUCCACGUGAACGCUGUGAUACGUCUGACCUUCAGUCCGAAGAAGAAACCCAGACCAGUCUUAAAAGAAAGCACAAACCAAAUCCCCUGUACACAUAUACGGACUCAGAGGAUGAGUUUUUUUGUGGGGAAAGCCUACAAAAAAACGGUUUUCCCAGGCCCCUCGAGUGAAAAUACCAGCCCUCAUCACUCCGCAGUCUGCCCCCCAGCCCACUGAUAGCAACCAUCAUAAUGCCCCACCCAGCUUCCGGCACCUUUCGCCACUCCGGCACAAACCGAAACAGCUUUGCGAUCUCCCCAGCAUGCAGAGUCUGAUGUCUUCCCUAUAGAUGAUUCCAGAGACUCUGUGAAGCCACUAUUACAAGGUGAGACGCUUUGCGUUGAUUGGUGCUGCUGGACCACACUGGAGGUGCGAGUCCGCCGUGUAAUGGUUUAUGCCAUUACAAAGGAGCUGGCCUCUGUACUCAACUGGGCAGGGAAAAAAAAACAAGGACCAGACAAAGCAAAAAAGGGCAUUUAAAGAGACAGCGCCGUGCAGAUGCAUAUUUGAUGGCCUGGCGCAGCAGGUAGGGGCGAACUCUAUGUCUGAGUUGGUCUUUGCUCAAGCAGUCCAGAAAUGGCUCAGAUAUGCUCCAGGUCGUACGGGUGGCGCGCAGGACGCCCAUCAUCCAUCCCCAUCCCGGAGUAAAUAAUAAAAAGUGACGUGAAACAUAGAAAUGUAAAUAGGAAACUUUGUCUUUUAAUAAAGUAUUUUGCAAAUGA
Pelmatolapia mariae (spotted tilapia) is the source of this 1036-nucleotide long non-coding RNA. RefSeq lists it as uncharacterized. The transcript is spliced from 7 exons. NCBI's taxonomy places the organism in Eukaryota, Metazoa, Chordata, Actinopteri, Cichliformes, Cichlidae. The record is from RefSeq and is a predicted model, not a curated record.